AUUGAACGCAGGCGGAAUGCUUUACACAUGCAAGUCGAACGGCAGCACGGGGGCAACCCUGGUGGCGAGUGGCGAACGGGUGAGUAAUAUAUCGGAACGUGCCCAGUCGUGGGGGAUAACGUAGCGAAAGUUACGCUAAUACCGCAUACGAUCUACGGAUGAAAGCGGGGGAUCGCAAGACCUCGCGCGAUUGGAGCGGCCGAUAUCAGAUUAGGUAGUUGGUGGGGUAAAGGCUCACCAAGCCAACGAUCUGUAGCUGGUCUGAGAGGACGACCAGCCACACUGGGACUGAGACACGGCCCAGACUCCUGCGGGAGGCAGCAGUGGGGAAUUUUGGACAAUGGGCGCAAGCCUGAUCCAGCCAUUCCGCGUGCAGGACGAAGGCCUUCGGGUUGUAAACUGCUUUUGUACGGAACGAAAAAGCCUUGGCUAAUACCCAGGGUCCAUGACGGUACCGUAAGAAUAAGCACCGGCUAACUACGUGCCAGCCGCCGCAGUAA
This 500-nucleotide ribosomal RNA is filed under the name uncultured bacterium. RNAcentral describes it as "partial 16S ribosomal RNA". It matches the Rfam family "Bacterial small subunit ribosomal RNA", at positions 30 to 523 of the family's 1533-position model. The record is from RNAcentral.